Molecule: ribosomal RNA, 460 nt
Filed under: uncultured bacterium
Lineage: Bacteria
Description: partial 16S ribosomal RNA
Rfam family: Bacterial small subunit ribosomal RNA
Source: RNAcentral
CCUACGGGGGGCUGCAGUGAGGAAUAUUGGUCAAUGGACGAGAGUCUGAACCAGCCAAGUAGCGUGAAGGAUGACUGCCCUAUGGGUUGUAAACUUCUUUUAUAUGGGAAUAAAAUGUUCCACGUGUGGGAUUUUGUAUGUACCAUAUGAAUAAGGAUCGGCUAACUCCGUGCCAGCAGCCGCGGUAAUACGGAGGAUCCGAGCGUUAUCCGGAUUUAUUGGGUUUAAAGGGUGCGUAGGUGGAUUGUUAAGUCAGUGGUGAAAGCUUGCGGCUCAACCGUAAAAUUGCAGUUGAUACUGGCAGUCUUGAGUAUAGUAGAGGUAGGCGGAAUGCAUGGUGUAGCGGUGAAAUGCUUAGAUAUCACGAAGAACACCGAUUGCGAAGGCAGUUCACUGGACUGCAACUGACACUGAGGCUCGAAAGUGUGGGGAUCAAACAGGAUUAGAUACCCCUGUAGUC